RNAcentral lists this transfer RNA (71 nucleotides) under Marmota monax (woodchuck). RNAcentral's name for it is "tRNA.Undet". Lineage: Eukaryota; Metazoa; Chordata; Mammalia; Rodentia; Sciuridae. The record is from RNAcentral.
GGAGUUGUGGCUCAGUGGUAGAGCACUUGCCAAGCAGGUGUGAGGCACUGGGUUUGAUUCUCAGCACUGCA